UUAUGACACGGAUAAACAAAAGAAGAAGAGUGAAGCAGCAACAGCAAGUAGCAGCAGAAGCAUUGGCAAUGGAGACACUGGCUAUGCGCGCGGCAUCAGCUGCAUCUGCAACCGUUCCCCAACCUCAAUUCUCAUUCCAACUUCAACACUCUCUCUUCCCCGUUCAUGGCUUCACACUCUUCCACCGAAACCGCACCGAUUCGCCUUCACAUCUUUGUUGCAGAACCAGGCACCGCCAUUCCCAACCAUUCGCCAACAAACAACACCACCUCGUGCUCCAUGAAGAACCACAACAACAAGAAGAGGAAGAAGAUGAAGAAGUAGAAGUUGAAGAAGAAGAAGCUUCGUAUUCGGAUGAUGACACUUCCUUCUUGUCCCUCACCGUUAAGCCUGACCGGAACAUGGCCUUGCUCGACGAUUACGAGACGGAGGAGCUCGAUUUCGACGAUGGCCCUAACCACAGAAGCGGAUAUGUGGCUUUACUUGGCAAGCCAAAUGUUGGCAAGAGUACACUAGCAAACCAAAUGGUUGGUCAAAAGUUGUCGAUAGUUACCGAUAAACCGCAAACGACAAGGCAUCGAAUUCUCUGUAUAUGUUCUGGAACGGAUUAUCAGAUGGUACUUUAUGACACGCCUGGCGUUCUACAGAAGGAAAUGCACAAGUUAGACUCAAUGAUGAUGAAAAAUGUUCGCAGUGCGGCGGUUAAUGCGGACUGUGUAUUGGUUCUUGUUGAUGCAUGUAAAGCACCUGAAAAAAUUGAUGAAUUGUUGGAAGAAGGCAUAGGAGAUCUCAAAGAUAAACCUCCCGUUCUACUGAUUCUGAACAAGAAGGAUCUUAUAAAACCUGGAGAAGUUGCAAAGAAACUUGAGUGGUAUGAGAAAUUUACCAACGUUGAUGAGGUUAUACCAGUUAGUGCUAAAUAUGGUCAUGGGGUUGCAGAUGUCAAGGACUGGAUACUGUCAAAGCUUCCUAAUGGACCAUCUUAUUAUCCAAAAGACAUUGUCAGUGAGCAUCCAGAAAGAUUUUUUGUUGCUGAAAUUGUUAGAGAAAAGAUUUUUAUGCAGUAUCGAAAUGAAAUUCCCUACGCAUGCCAGGUGAAUGUUGUAAGCUAUAAGGCUCGACCGAAUGCGAAAGAUUUCAUACAAGUCGAGAUUUUGGUUGAGAAAAACUCACAAAAGAUGAUCGUUAUUGGAAGAGAAGGAAAGGCUUUGAAACUGCUUGCUACAGCUUCCCGCCUUGACAUAGAAGAUUUUCUACAGAAGAAAGUUUAUCUUGAGAUUGAAGUGAAGGUUAGAGAAAAUUGGCGACAAGACGAAGGCCUCCUUAAGGACUAUGGUUAUGGGGGUCAGAUACGUGUUUUAUGAUGUGAAGAAGUAACGAAUAACUCGUUGGACAUCAAUCAUAAUAUCGCUUAUGCGAUAAACACCUAUUGCCAUAAGCGCUUAAUUAAACUGUUUACAUAGAUGCACCGUAUGUCUGGUUGUGGUAAGACAAGAUGAAACGGAGAAACUCUAUUGAAAGACAAGCUAUCCAGGAGGCUAGAGUGUAUCUAGGACUGAGCCAACCUAUAGAAAGAUAGGUUGGGAAGGAGCCAAUCAAAUGAAAAAAACAGAAUACAUGAUUCAACAGCAACUUUGCGAGGGAUUAGCCUCACUGAGCUUUCUGAAUUUAGAUUCUUGUGCAGCACAACAGGAUUAUAUGUCUGCUUGAUCCUGCAAGACACGAUACUACACAAUGUGCAUGCUGCUGCAGAGGGUCCUUCUCUGAAGUUCUUCAGGUUAUGUUGUUGUCUGGUUUUGACAUAAGACGGUGGUCGCAAAGCAAGCAGGAAUGGAAGUGAAAUAUCAAUCAACAAACCAAUCCCACAUUUUUGGCCUAAUUGCUCUGUUUUACCAUGAAAUGUGAACGCAUGAGCCCAAUCUCAAUAGUAAGAUUUUUCAAGGCACAACCAACCAGCAAUGACAAAAUUAGAUUGGAAAGGUUAAGGAAUACCAACCAUUUGAUUGAGAGUUGACUCCAGCUCAUGGAACAAAAACUUAGGAUGAAACUCGGAUGACCCAUCAAUGAAAGCUUCUUGUUCAACCACUUGAACUUGUCCAUCACUCUUUUCAUCUCUGUGAGCACAAGCUCCUUUGAAUCCAUCAUCCAUUGCAUUAGCUGCACAGAGUUUGUCACCAACAAACCCGCCAAGAAAGAGUGUUCUUGAGUUAGAAAAUCUACGAGCAAAUGAAGAAGAAUUUUUCAACAAUCUAUGUUUAUGCUGCAGAUUUGUCCCGAGAAAAUUGUUAGAUGGAUUGUAGAAAAUGGCAGCUGUAUUUGCCGUCAUAUGGAAGGAUAACUACAGCAUAAUCACUCUGACUAGCUAGCUAUAGGCUUCUGAGAAGGAUGGAUACUUAGCAAUGCUCUUCAUUGGGGCCGCAAAGUUUGUUCGAAAGUGUCUGAUUUGAGAGAAAAAUACUAAAAAAUAAAGGCUCACAGAGAAUAAGGGAAAUAGUCGGGAUUGAUCCUUGUCGGAGAGGUGGUUCCGGCCGCUGUACCUACUUGGCAAGACCCAUUCAGUUGGCACUGUCACGUCAAUUAAUGAUGUUUGUGAGGAAAUUACUAGACUGUUCUUGAGUUAGAUAAUCUACCAGCAAACGAAUAAUUUUUCAUGAAUCUAUGUCUAUGCUGCAUAAUCGAUCACUCUGAAAGAGACACUUUCUGGUUGGCUGGCUACAGGCUUAUGACAAGGUUGGAAAAAAACAAAAUUAGUAUCUUCUCACUAAUCCUGCUUUUCAGGGGGCGAAAAGUUCUACAGAUUCCGAUUUGAGAGAAAAAUACUUAAAUAUAAAGGUAGCUGGCGUGGGUGACUUUUCCUUUGGUUAAUCUGGUGUAGGAUUUUUUUAUGAGUAUUUUAUGGGAAUGAUGUAGACUAAUCAUUUUUUACACCUAGGUUUUUUUUUUUCAAAUCCAGGUGUCUAUUUUGUUGUUAUAGUUAGUACCACGUACUCAUCCUAAUUAUAAAUAGGUAAUUGUUAUUGCCAUCAUCCCA
This is an RNA transcript of Lotus japonicus, 3031 nucleotides long. It is a transcript of the gene named GTPase ERA-like, chloroplastic, with no coding region annotated. Lineage: Eukaryota; Viridiplantae; Streptophyta; Magnoliopsida; Fabales; Fabaceae. The record is from RefSeq and is a predicted model, not a curated record. The transcript has 12 exons.